GAAGACCUGCUUGGUUUUUUUAUUGCUGUAUUCUCAGUAAUCUUCCCCCACUCAGCGCUAGGACGUGCCCAAUAAAUAUUGAAUGAAUGAACGCGUGCAUGAACGCAUGAAUGACAAAGCCUGGGUUCAGGUCCCAGAGUGGCCCCUUAGCUAUGUGAUCUCAGAAAAGUCAGUCUUCUACCUUGAGCCACAAUUUCUUCAUUGCUGAAGGGAUAGAUCAGCGCCCAAAUCCCUUCCAGCUCUGACACUCUGCUAUCUCAUGACCUAUUUUAUCCGCUAUCUAUAGUUCACGUUCUGGCUCAUCCAGCAUGAGUCAUGCCUCAAGAACUUGAGGCUCUUACUCACUUGAAGGACUUUAACAUUCUUCGGAGAACCUUUCACUCUUCAAAUAUUAUCUUUCUGAUGUGAUCCUUGGCAGCGUCGCGGAUCCCGCCAGCUCAUGCAGGUCGGGUCGCUCCAAGCCUUACCUACUCUCAGUUCCUGGCAGCCCUGGCCUCGUGCGUUCCCAGCAGGGGCCCCAGAAGAGGGUAGGGUCUGCCAGUCCCGUGAUGGAGUGUGUUGUGAUUCUCAUGCGGCCUGAGAGGAGGGGGAGCUGUGACUCAGUAUUUGGGAAACGUUGGCUUGUGGGGACAGUGCCAUGUGGUCAGGAGGUGAGAUGAGAUUCUGCUCUCCAUUCUGGGUUCCGUGCAGCAGUCUGGAUCCUCGACCUCUGUUCCACCUGGAACGCUUUUCUGCCCCAGCUGAGUAGGAAUUUAAAAAAAGAGAAGAAUAUGAAGUCUCCCUACUGGUCAGCCCGCCGGUGGCUCAGAUCCCUAAGGAGUGAAGAUUGGGUGUUUGGUUUGGGUCAUUCCACGAAGUCAGGGUUUCUGAGCAGCUGAGAUGCUGGCUGAGAGCAGAACAAACAUAAUAUUUAAGUCUCUUUUUCUCACUACAGUUUCACGGUGUGUUCUCAUGUUGUCUUAUCACAAAUCCCCCCCUUCUUCCCUUGUUCUCUUGUGUGACUUGUGUGUGGUGGUGGGGGCAGAAUUUAUGGUGUUGUCACUGCACUCCAGCACAUUAAGAGACUUGGAAUAGAACCAGAGGAGGAGUAAGCAUCACCCAGAGACCCUGGACUGCUUGCCCAGCCGAGCACUGAAAUCUCUGGGUUGGCCCCUAUGCAGAGGGCAAGCACGCUCCCGUGAGUGGAGAGCUCCUUGUGUUAGAUUCCUGUUGUUGUGAUCGUUGUUGGCAGUUAAAGAGGAGACUGACUGUACAGGACAUUGUAUGUUUUCUGCCCAAUUUUCAGCAUUUUUCGAACCCCAGUUUGGAGACUUUCAGCCUUAUGGGUCUGGCUCCUCAAGGCUUCGCGGGUCAGACCCACUUGAAGGAGCAGCGUGAGGAAGCAGAGCCUGCUCAGAAACAAGGGGCUGGCAGGUGCAGUGGCGGGGCGCCCAGCUCUGGUGCGGAAGCCGCACUGUUCGGAUGGCUGCAGGGGCAGUUACCACUUGUGCUCUGUGGGGCUGCGGCUGCCCCAGCGGGUUUCUCCUGACACUAGGCUUCCAGGCAUCAAUCUGGAGCUUUCCAUGAACUUGUCCUCUAGCUUCCUGGUACCUUUGAAAUCAACUGCUCUCUUUCACUUAAUCGGUCAGGUUCUGAUUCUUGCAGGAAGAAAGUCUGACAUAUAGAAAUUGGAGAAAAUAGCAGCAGCAGCAGUAACAAUAACAACAACAACAACAACAAUAACAAUAAUAAUAAUAAAAGAAAGCCUUUAUCGAGCACCUACUGUGUGCCAGGCACCAUAUUUUAUGUUAGAUAUGCAUGAUUUCAUUUCUUCCUUUCAACAGUCCUACAAGCUUGGUACAGUUUCAUUUCUUUGUUUUGUUUUUUUUAAUAGAGAAGGUAGCUAAGGCUUACAGAAAUUUCAAAGUAUGUCCAAGGUCACAAAUUAGGAAUUUAUACCCAUGAAGCUUGAAAGGCACUAGAACAUAAAUCAGGAUAAGACUUGUGUGCCUGAAGAGUCAAGACUACAAAAUCAUGUCCUAGAUUUCUAUUAUGGGGAAUUUUAAAACAUGCGACAUGCACAGAAAGAGAAAAUAUUCUUACAAACCUUGAUGUACCCAUUAGUCCAGUUUCAGCAAAUCAUCAAUAUACAGGACAGUAUAAUAUGCUUGGUACUACUAGUUUAAGGAUAUAGAAGGUAUCUCUACUGAGUUUUCUCGAAUGUUGUGAGGUUUAAGAGUGUGGAGUUGGAAGUGGUUGUAUAUAUAAGAGCAGAUUUAAUUAUGUUAUAUUAAAUUUUCAAACCACAUAAAAUUUUAAAUUUGCAUGUCUAGAUAUGAAAAGGCAAACAGUAAACUCUGCCACUGCUGUGACUUGCAAAAAAAAUCUUUAUUAUAGAAAAAGCUCAUAUAUGGUGAUAAGAAAAUCAACAAAUAUAGCAGAAAAUGGGGUCAAGGGUGUGAACAUAUAGUUCUUAGAAAAAGAUCCAACAAUAGCCAUCAAGCUUACUGGUAAUCAAAACAAUGAAAACAGAAAAAUGCUGUUUUCACCUAUGAAAUGAAAAAAAUAUAAAGUAGGUAUUUGUUCACAUUCUGCUGAAGGCAGGAUGAUUUCAUGGAUCCCUACUGGAAAUGAACUUGACAAAACAUAUUAGGGACUUAAAGGAGUUUAUACCCUUUGAUCCAAAAAUUCUGGCAAGAGAAUCUUCUCCAAAAGAAAUUAGGAGAGGUGCAGAAAAAAUUUCUACUCAAAGAAUUUCAUUAUAGCAUGAAUUGUAAGAGCAAAAAUAUUGGAGAAGUUCCGAAGCCUAACAAGAGAACAGUUGUGUAAGUUACGGUGUGUACAUAGAUGGAACGUUGUCCGUUUUCUCUGGAAAAUGGUCAUCUAUGUAAAGUAUGAUUUCAUUUACGUACAGUUUAUCUUUCUCUCUCUCCAUACAUACACACAUACAGAAAAAAAAGCCCCAACGCUGAGAGAUAUACACCGAUAUGUUCACAGGGUAGUUAUAUGUGGAUUGUGGGAUUGUGGGUUUAAAAAUUUUAUUCUAGGGGCGCCUGGGUGGCACAGCGGUUAAGCGUCUGCCUUCGGCUCAGGGCGUGAUCCCGGCGUUAUGGGAUCGAGCCCCACA
Molecule: long non-coding RNA, 3106 nt
Organism: Ailuropoda melanoleuca (giant panda)
Lineage: Eukaryota; Metazoa; Chordata; Mammalia; Carnivora; Ursidae
Exons: 3
Source: RefSeq, a predicted model, not a curated record